CUUCCCGAACCCCUCUCACAACUCCUCAUCUCACACGCUAGAUCUCCAUCCAACUCCUCCUCUCACGCCCUCUCCUUCCAACCCCUCUCCGGCGAACCCCUCUCCCCGAACCUCUCCUCCGAACUCCUCUCCGUCAAGACCGCGGGCAAAAUUUCCUCACCUUAUUCCUUCACCUCUUCGUCAAAUAGAAAAUGCCCUAAUCUCUUCGCCUCCGUCGCCUCAUUCACGCUUCCUUCACACUGCCAAAUCUCUUUGACCCCACCUUCGUCAAGCGGCAGAUCCCGACGUUGAGGCGAUCGACCACGGCAGAUCGACCCAUCUCUUUGCCUCCUUCGCCCCCUACACUGAGGCGACCCGUCGUACUGGCGUGACUGCCUCCAGUAUUCAGUUGCGAUUGUCACUGGUGUCUUCUGUUCCUGACUAUAUACUACAAGAUGAAGUUCAGGCUCAGGACUUGUUGUCUCUAGUGCAGGCGGAAGAAAAUGACACAGUAGAGAAUUAUAGCAACCCUGAAGCACCACAACAACUUCCAGUUUUGGAUGAACGAUUAGGUGAAUCUUUUGCUGAAGAGACUAUGCCAUAUCCAAUUGCCUUGGAGACCACAAGAGAUCCACCUCCUGCAACCGCAAAAGAAUCUGUUGGAGAGCCAACUAAGCACACAUAUGCCUCCAUUCUUCGGGCUAAAGGCCAAUCUGGUCCAUCUAUGCAUCCAACACCUGUAGUAAAGACAUCUUUGGUGGUUUCAGAAUAGGCCCAUUCCUUUUCCCAACAUUCCCAUCCUGCUAUUUUUCCUGAGAAUUCUGGCUCUGAGGCAAUUGAGGAGGCUCUAGUAGUUGAGGAUGAAGUUGAUUCCAGAUCUGUUUAUGUUGGAAAUCUUCCUUCAUCUAUCUCGACUUCAGACCUUGAGCAAGUCUUUAAGAAUUUUGGUAAAUUGAGACCAGAUGGUGUUUUUAUUAGAAGUCGGAAGGAGUCUGAUGUUUUUUAUGUUUUCAUUGAAUAUCAAGAUGCCAUUGGUGUACAAAAUGCACUUAAGGCAUCUCCAAUAUAGUUAAAUGGGAGAUUGAUUCAUGUCGAGGGGAGAAGACCUAAUAGCGGUGUAUCACGAGAAAAUACACAAUGGUACGUGUUUUGUCCCAGUCUCAAGCCGAUAAUCCUUUUUGAUCAGUAUAUCUAGUAGAAGUAAGCAUGCAAAUCGUUGUCUUCGAGACCGACUAAUUAUUUUGUGCUUUUUUGUUUUAAAUUCAAAUGUCACUAUCUACUUUGAAACAGAACUAUUUAGUCUUUGUGUAUAGUUGAAUUCUCCUGUAAAUACUAAUAUUUUUAAGUUGAAUUCUAUUGUUUUGGUA
Zingiber officinale is the source of this 1346-nucleotide long non-coding RNA. RefSeq lists it as uncharacterized. The record is from RefSeq and is a predicted model, not a curated record. Lineage: Eukaryota; Viridiplantae; Streptophyta; Magnoliopsida; Zingiberales; Zingiberaceae. The transcript has 7 exons.